UGGGGAAUUUUGGACAAUGGACGCAAGUCUGAUCCAGCCAUGCCGCGUGCGGGAAGAAGGCCUUCGGGUUGUAAACCGCUUUUGUCAGGGAAGAAACGAGUUUCUCUAAUACAGAGACUUAAUGACGGUACCUGAAGAAUAAGCACCGGCUAACUACGUGCCAGCAGCCGCGGUAAUACGUAGGGUGCAAGCGUUAAUCGGAAUUACUGGGCGUAAAGCGUGCGCAGGCGGUUAUAUAAGACAGAUGUGAAAUCCCCGGGCUAAACCUGGGAACUGCGUUUGUGACUGUAUAGCUAGAGUACGGCAGAGGGGGAUGGAAUUCCGCGUGUAGCAGUGAGAUGCGUAGAUAUGCGGAGAAACACCGAUGGCGAAGGCGAUCCCCUGGGCCUGUACUGACGCUCAUGCAAGAAAGCGUGGGGAGCAAACA
This 427-nucleotide ribosomal RNA is filed under the name uncultured bacterium. Its description in RNAcentral is "bacterial SSU rRNA". It matches the Rfam family "Bacterial small subunit ribosomal RNA", at positions 355 to 774 of the family's 1533-position model. The record is from RNAcentral.